CCAAUAGCGUAUAUUAAAGUUGUUGCAGUUAAAAAGCUCGUAGUUGAAUUUCGGGGUCAGCAGGUUGGUCGUGCCUAUGGUAUGCACUGGCUUUGCUGAUUCCUCCUUCUUGAAGAACUGUAAUGUCAUUAAUUUGGUGUUGCAGGGAAACAGGACUGUUACUUUGAAAAAAUUAGAGUGUUUAAAGCAGGCUAACGCUUGAAUACAUUAGCAUGGAAUAAUGAAAUAGGACGUUUGAUCCUAUUUUGUUGGUUUCUAGGAUUGACGUAAUGAUUAAUAGGGAUAGUUGGGGGCAUUAGUAUUCAAUUGUCAGAGGUGAAAUUCUUGGAUUUAUUGAAGACUAACUACUGCGAAAGCAUUUGCCAAGGAUGUUUUCAUUAAUCAAGAACGAAAGUUAGGGGAUCGAAGACGAUCAGAUACCGUCGUAGUCUUAACCAUAAACUAUGCCGACUAGGGAUCGGAUGAUGUUAAUUUUUUAAUGACUCAUUCGGCGCCUUACG
RNAcentral lists this ribosomal RNA (500 nucleotides) under uncultured Glomeromycotina. RNAcentral describes it as "partial small subunit ribosomal RNA". It matches the Rfam family "Eukaryotic small subunit ribosomal RNA", at positions 591 to 1092 of the family's 1831-position model. Lineage: Eukaryota; Fungi; Glomeromycota. The record is from RNAcentral.